This 468-nucleotide ribosomal RNA is filed under the name uncultured bacterium. RNAcentral describes it as "partial 16S ribosomal RNA". It matches the Rfam family "Bacterial small subunit ribosomal RNA", at positions 28 to 507 of the family's 1533-position model. The record is from RNAcentral.
GACGAACGCUGGCGGCGUGCUUAACACAUGCAAGUCGAACGGAAAGGCCCUGCUUUUGUGGGGUGCUCGAGUGGCGAACGGGUGAGUAACACGUGAGUAACCUGCCCUUGACUUUGGGAUAACCUCAGGAAACUGGGGCUAAUACCGGAUAGGAGCUCCUGCUGCAUGGUGGGGGUUGGAAAGUUUCGGCGGUUGGGGAUGGACUCGCGGCUUACCAGCUUGUUGGUGGGGUAGUGGCUUACCAAGGCUUUGACGGGUAGCCGGCCUGAGAGGGUGACCGGCCACAUUGGGACUGAGAUACGGCCCAGACUCCUACGGGAGGCAGCAGUGGGGAAUAUUGCACAAUGGGUGGAAGCCUGAUGCAGCAACGCCGCGUGCGGGAUGACGGCCUUCGGGUUGUAAACCGCUUUCGCCUGUGACGAAGCGUGAGUGACGGUAAUGGGUAAAGAAGCACCGGCUAACUACGUG